GUCAGCAGGCGCGAAUAGUCUACAAUGGACGAAAGUCUGAUAGUGCGACGCCGUGUGUGCGAUUAAUUCCUUCGGGAUGUAAAGCACUUUUCUAUGAGAUAAAAGCUCUUUAGGUUAAUAGCUUAUUGAGACGGAUAUUAUUAUAGGAAUAAGCUCCGGCUAACUCCGUGCCAGCAGGCCGCGGUUAAUACGGAAGGAGCGAGCGUUGUCCGGAUUUACUAGGCGUAAAGGGCUAGUAGGCGACUAAGUUAAGGUUAUAUGUUAAAUCCCACGGCUCAACUGUGGUCCUGCAUGUAAUACUGGUUAGAUAGA
RNAcentral lists this ribosomal RNA (312 nucleotides) under uncultured microorganism. RNAcentral describes it as "bacterial SSU rRNA". It matches the Rfam family "Bacterial small subunit ribosomal RNA", at positions 347 to 645 of the family's 1533-position model. The record is from RNAcentral.